ACGGGAGGCAGCAGUGAGGAAUAUUGGUCAAUGGGCGGAAGCCUGAACCAGCCAUGCCGCGUGAAGGAUUAAGGCCCUAUGGGUCGUAAACUUCUUUUGUAUGGGAGCAAUAAGUCUUACGUGUAAGGCGAUGAGAGUACCAUACGAAUAAGCAUCGGCUAACUCCGUGCCAGCAGCCGCGGUAAUACGGAGGAUGCAAGCGUUAUCCGGAUUUAUUGGGUUUAAAGGGUGCGUAGGCGGCUUGGUAAGUCAGCGGUGAAAGGUCGGGGCUCAACUCCGGAACUGCCGUUGAUACUGUCGGGCUUGAAUGCGGAUGCCGUGGGAGGAAUGUGUGGUGUAGCGGUGAAAUGCAUAGAUAUCACACAGAACACCGAUUGCGAAGGCAUCUCACGAAUCCGCGAUUGACGCUGAGGCACGAAAGUGUGGGGAUCAAACAGGAUUAGAUACCCUGGUA
Molecule: ribosomal RNA, 454 nt
Filed under: uncultured Porphyromonadaceae bacterium
Lineage: Bacteria; Pseudomonadati; Bacteroidota; Bacteroidia; Bacteroidales; Porphyromonadaceae
Description: partial 16S ribosomal RNA
Rfam family: Bacterial small subunit ribosomal RNA
Source: RNAcentral